This 354-nucleotide unclassified non-coding RNA is filed under the name soil metagenome. RNAcentral describes it as "partial contains 5.8S ribosomal RNA, internal transcribed spacer 2, and large subunit ribosomal RNA". The stretch from base 1 to 120 matches the Rfam family "5.8S ribosomal RNA", at positions 35 to 154 of the family's 154-position model. The record is from RNAcentral.
GAUGAAGAACGCAGCGAAAUGCGAUAAGUAAUGUGAAUUGCAGAAUUCAGUGAAUCAUCGAAUCUUUGAACGCACAUUGCGCCCGCCAGUAUUCUGGCGGGCAUGCCUGUCCGAGCGUCAUUUCAACCCUCGAACCCCUCCGGGGGGUCGGCGUUGGGGAUCGGCCCUGCCUCUUGGCGGUGGCCGUCUCCGAAAUACAGUGGCGGUCCCGCUGCAGCCUCCUCUGCGUAGUAGUUUUCUCCUCGCAAGGGCAGCUCGGUGGCGACCUCGCCGUAAAACCCCCAACUUCUGAAAGGUUGACCUCGAAUCAGGUAGGAAUACCCGCUGAACUUAAGCAUAUCAAUAAGCGGAGGA